CUGAUAAUGAAGGUUGGCCUGUCGCA
This 26-nucleotide non-coding RNA is filed under the name Mus musculus (house mouse). The record is from RNAcentral. Lineage: Eukaryota; Metazoa; Chordata; Mammalia; Rodentia; Muridae.